Molecule: transfer RNA, 85 nt
Filed under: Xanthobacteraceae bacterium
Lineage: Bacteria; Pseudomonadati; Pseudomonadota; Alphaproteobacteria; Hyphomicrobiales; Xanthobacteraceae
Also listed under: 1 other name
Description: tRNA-Leu
Rfam family: tRNA
About the family: Transfer RNA (tRNA) molecules are approximately 80 nucleotides in length. Their secondary structure includes four short double-helical elements and three loops (D, anti-codon, and T loops).
Source: RNAcentral
GCGGUCGUGGCGGAAUUGGUAGACGCACUAGCUUGAGGUGCUAGCGGGGCAACUCGUGGAGGUUCGAGUCCUCUCGACCGCACCA